UGUGUGUUAGUGGAAGCGUCUGGAAAGGCGCGCGAUACAGGGUGACAGCCCCGUACACAAAAAUGCACAUGCUGUGAGCUCGAUGAGUAGGGCGGGACACGUGGUAUCCUGUCUGAAUAUGGGGGGACCAUCCUCCAAGGCUAAAUACUCCUGACUGACCGAUAGUGAACCAGUACCGUGAGGGAAAGGCGAAAAGAACCCCGGCGAGGGGAGUGAAAAAGAACCUGAAACCGUGUACGUACAAGCAGUGGGAGCACGCUUAGGCGUGUGACUGCGUACCUUUUGUAUAAUGGGUCAGCGACUUAUAUUCUGUAGCAAGGUUAACCGAAUAGGGGAGCCGAAGGGAAACCGAGUCUUAACUGGGCGUUAAGUUGCAGGGUAUAGACCCGAAACCCGGUGAUCUAGCCAUGGGCAGGUUGAAGGUUGGGUAACACUAACUGGAGGACCGAACCGACUAAUGUUGAAAAAUUAGCGGAUGACUUGUGGCUGGGGGUGAAAGGCCAAUCAAACCGGGAGAUAGCUGGUUCUCCCCGAAAGCUAUUUAGGUAGCGCCUCGUGAAUUCAUCUCCGGGGGUAGAGCACUGUUUCGGCAAGGGGGUCAUCCCGACUUACCAACCCGAUGCAAACUGCGAAUACCGGAGAAUGUUAUCACGGGAGACACACGGCGGGUGCUAACGUCCGUCGUGAAGAGGGAAACAACCCAGACCGCCAGCUAAGGUCCCAAAGUCAUGGUUAAGUGGGAAACGAUGUGGGAAGGCCCAGACAGCCAGGAUGUUGGCUUAGAAGCAGCCAUCAUUUAAAGAAAGCGUAAUAGCUCACUGGUCGAGUCGGCCUGCGCGGAAGAUGUAACGGGGCUAAACCAUGCACCGAAGCUGCGGCAGCGACGCUGAUGCGUUGUUGGGUAGGGGAGCGUUCUGUAAGCCUGCGAAGGUGUGCUGUGAGGCAUGCUGGAGGUAUCAGAAGUGCGAAUGCUGACAUAAGUAACGAUAAAGCGGGUGAAAAGCCCGCUCGCCGGAAGACCAAGGGUUCCUGUCCAACGUUAAUCGGGGCAGGGUGAGUCGACCCCUAAGGCGAGGCCGAAAGGCGUAGUCGAUGGGAAACAGGUUAAUAUUCCUGUACUUGGUGUUACUGCGAAGGGGGGACGGAGAAGGCUAUGUUGGCCGGGCGACGGUUGUCCCGGUUUAAGCGUGUAGGCUGGUUUUCCAGGCAAAUCCGGAAAAUCAAGGCUGAGGCGUGAUGACGAGGCACUACGGUGCUGAAGCAACAAAUGCCCUGCUUCCAGGAAAAGCCUCUAAGCAUCAGGUAACAUCAAAUCGUACCCCAAACCGACACAGGUGGUCAGGUAGAGAAUACCAAGGCGCUUGAGAGAACUCGGGUGAAGGAACUAGGCAAAAUGGUGCCGUAACUUCGGGAGAAGGCACGCUGAUAUGUAGGUGAGGUCCCUCGCGGAUGGAGCUGAAAUCAGUCGAAGAUACCAGCUGGCUGCAACUGUUUAUUAAAAACACAGCACUGUGCAAACACGAAAGUGGACGUAUACGGUGUGACGCCUGCCCGGUGCCGGAAGGUUAAUUGAUGGGGUUAGCGCAAGCGAAGCUCUUGAUCGAAGCCCCGGUAAACGGCGGCCGUAACUAUAACGGUCCUAAGGUAGCGAAAUUCCUUGUCGGGUAAGUUCCGACCUGCACGAAUGGCGUAAUGAUGGCCAGGCUGUCUCCACCCGAGACUCAGUGAAAUUGAACUCGCUGUGAAGAUGCAGUGUACCCGCGGCAAGACGGAAAGACCCCGUGAACCUUUACUAUAGCUUGACACUGAACAUUGAGCCUUGAUGUGUAGGAUAGGUGGGAGGCUU
Molecule: ribosomal RNA, 1846 nt
Filed under: Escherichia coli
Lineage: Bacteria; Pseudomonadati; Pseudomonadota; Gammaproteobacteria; Enterobacterales; Enterobacteriaceae
Description: partial 23S ribosomal RNA
Rfam family: Bacterial large subunit ribosomal RNA
Source: RNAcentral